CGACCAGGAGGGGGAAAGAAAGGGUGAAACCCUACUUGUUCAAUCAAGGUCAAAAUUCAGCAAAUUAAUGGUGGUUCUUGACACAAAUUGAAUGCAUGAGACUGGAUACAACUUAAUCUAAGUAUAUUGAUCAUAAGGUAAGUUUCAAUUUAUGAUUUGAUGAUCUUAAUAGGAAUCACAUUAGCAAGGACUCGAAAACGGAAGGUUAACGGGUCAAGCAGAGGCGAGGAAACAAGCGUGAACACUAACGCUCGAGGUAAGUGACUUUCGAUUCACUUCUUAGUAUACAUAUAGAGUUUUCUUGUUAUGGUUGAAUGGGAUGAUUGAUGUAUAUAAAAUCGCCGACAAGUAGGUAUGUAUGAAUGCAUUUAGGAAAAUUACGUAAGUACAUGCACGUGUGAGCUAAGGUAUGCACGGGUGUAGUUAUGAUUCAUUUUAUGAAUGUAUGUAA
This 451-nucleotide long non-coding RNA is filed under the name Helianthus annuus (common sunflower). The record is from RNAcentral. Lineage: Eukaryota; Viridiplantae; Streptophyta; Magnoliopsida; Asterales; Asteraceae.